RNAcentral lists this non-coding RNA (99 nucleotides) under Coprococcus eutactus. RNAcentral describes it as "Guanine sequence". It matches the Rfam family "Purine riboswitch aptamer". Rfam says of the family: Riboswitches are metabolite binding domains within certain messenger RNAs that serve as precision sensors for their corresponding targets. Lineage: Bacteria; Bacillati; Bacillota; Clostridia; Lachnospirales; Lachnospiraceae. The record is from RNAcentral.
ACGAAAGAAUUAUAAUUAUAUAUGUAUAAGCCCAUAAUAUGGUUGGGCGUAUCUACCAGCUACCGAUAAUAGUUGACUACGACAUGGAUUGCCGUGGUC